AGAAGAAAAAAAAACAUGUUCUUGAUAUUAUCAAGAGCUUUGGAAACUGCAUACGUUCCAUGCGCUUAUGAGACAUUUGUUGCGCAGUGUGUCCUCCCUGUAUAGUGUAUAUUGCCGCCAAUUUCUCGGCAUUUCCAGCGGUUCAAACGUUUCUUCUGAGUUUCCGUUAUUUGAAAAAGGUGUUUAAUCGCCCGAUCAAUGUAGUGGAAGGGGUGAGUCGGCCAGUGAUGUCGAGAUGAGUGCGAUGCCUACGUGCAUCAACGUUUAGUGGACCUAAAGGACAUCGUCAGCACCGAGAUUUGCCAGCUGGAAACGCAGUGGGGCUACACGCAAUGGAGGCACGCGUACCAC
This is a long non-coding RNA of Amphibalanus amphitrite, 351 nucleotides long. RefSeq lists it as uncharacterized. The record is from RefSeq and is a predicted model, not a curated record. Lineage: Eukaryota; Metazoa; Arthropoda; Thecostraca; Balanomorpha; Balanidae. The transcript has 2 exons.